Non-coding RNA from Monodelphis domestica (gray short-tailed opossum), 3626 nucleotides. The record is from RefSeq and is a predicted model, not a curated record. NCBI's taxonomy places the organism in Eukaryota, Metazoa, Chordata, Mammalia, Didelphimorphia, Didelphidae.
AUGUCAUCACAUCCGCCGCGUCGCCGGGGCAACGGGGGCCAACCACUAACUGCAAGAGGGAGAGGCGAGGAGAGCGCCUCCGCGGAUGGGAGGGCGGGGCCGGGGGCGGGGUGGGGCGCCCCCGCGCCCCCUAACCCCACCCCUCGGAAAAAUACAAGAUUGCCCUGCAUGCAGUCCUUUACCUUUUAGAUCUGAUAUGUGGGAGAUUGUCUUGACCUUGAGAGAGAACAAACAUUAGACAGCAAAUAAUGGAAAGGUGUGGAGUUUCUAUCCCUGAUGACAUUCAAGAAGAGACCAGACUCUGUCACCAGGACUUCAGUGAGAGCUGAGCCGACAGAUCUCCUGAGGCUUCCCAGCUCCAAGAAUUCUGUAUGAUGUUUACCCUGCAGUGAUGAUAUAUUCCUUCUUCUGACAGCUUCCAACUCCCCUUUCUCACCUAGGAUUUCCACUCUCCCUGACAGAUUAAACCACUGGGCAACAAUAGUCCUUUUCAAAUGAUACUUUGAAAUUUAUACUUUCCUCCUGUCCUGGGGCUUAAACAAGUCCAUGAAUCCUGAAGAAUCCAAGUCCCUAGUUCUCAGACAGGCCUAAGGAGUUGCGUGCAGACUCAGAGUCUCCCAUGCUGAUUUACAUGCCUUUGACCUGCAAACUAGCAAUUACCACCUGCAGGAACAGUGAUCUCACCCUAACUAGCACCUCAGCUGAACAUAGCAUCAGCCUGGUUGUCUGUAACCUAUGAUCCCCAGAUAACUUGACCUCUGAGCAGCUUUACAUGGAUUCCUUGUGUGUUGCAGUAUACCAUUCAAAAAAUGGACCAGGUUAAAGCAAAGGGAAUGGGAAUGAGGUGCCAUUGUGGGAAACCUUUUCCCAAGAGACCCAAGCUACUCCCUCCUCCUUUCCUUGUAGCCACCUGAAAAGAGAAAGAGUUCGAGUGACCCAGUGCCUCCUGAUCCCUGCAUCCUGAUAAGCUUGGGCAGCUUCAUGUUCAAUGAGAUUGACUCCCAACGAGAUAUCACUCCCAUGCUUUAAAAUGUUGAGUGACUCCCUAGAAAAUCUAGGAUAAAAUACAAAGCCUUCAGCCAAUGAGGACAUUGGAAGAUCUUUCCAUGUUUUUAUUUUCUUAAAACCCACACCUUUCAUCUUAGAUUCAAUACUAAGGCAAAGGAGUGAAGGACUAGGCAAUAGAGAUUAAGUUACUUGCCCAAGGUCAUACAGCUAGGAAGUGUUGGAGGUCAAAUUUGAACCCAAGACCUCUCAUCUCUAGACCUGGCUCUCAAUCCACUGAGCCACCUCACUGCCCUGUUUCCAUGUUUUUUUAGAAAUGAACCUGCUUGUCAUUUCCAGUAUCUCUUACCUUUACAAAGAUUGCCCUGUAUGCCUGGAGUCCACUUCUUCCUGACCUCUAACUCUUAGAAGCAAUACCUUCUUUCAAGUGCCACCUUGGUUUACUUGAAUUAUUCUGACUCCCAUAGCUCCCACAGAGAUCAAGCCAUACUGACCUUCUUUCUGUUGCACACACCUGACAUUCCAAGGACCAACUUUUUUUUUUUAAUUUAGAAUAUUUUUCCAUGGUUACCUGAUUCAUGAUUCACACACACACACACACACUCUUUCCUCCCCACUCCUGAAGCUGACAAGCAGUUCCACUGGGUUAUAUAUAUGUAUCAUUAUUCAGAAACUAUUGCCUUGCUAUUCAUGUUUGCAGUAGAGUGAUCUUUUAAUCUAUGUGUGUCACCCUGCCUCAAACAUUUUUCUUAUAAACAACAUAUAGUUGGAUUCUGGUUUUUAAUCCACUCUGCUAUCUGCUUCUGUUUAAUGGGUGAGUUCAUCCCAUUCACAUUAAGUGUUAUGAUUACUGGGUAUUGCCCUCCAUAAUAUUAUCCCCUUUAGAUCCUGUUCUAUUCCCUUUCACUCUGUUCCUCCUCACCAGUAUUUUACUUUUUGUCACCUCCCAAUUCCUCCUCCUUUCAAUUACACCCCACUUCCUGUGACAGAGGUUGGCACUAGAGAAAAAGUGCCAGGCUGAAGAGUAUGUGAAAUUGAUCACCUCGAUGGGGGAGGGGCCUCAGGAGUUUUGGAAUCUUGGAGGAGAAGACUGGCUGGGGAAGAGAAGUGAGGCUCCUAGUCGGGAGAGGUGGAUAAAGACUUUCUCCUGAGGGUUACCCACUUUUCCUGCUGGUGACUGGAAAUCUUUCCCCCCAACACUUCCCAAUUGAAGAGACUUACUGAAGAGAAACCUGAGCAGACUUUACCUCAACUCCUGUUGCCUAGGGAUGUGCACCAUUGAAUCCAGCCACAUUAAUCCGUGACCUACCAUUGGGAGAAAAGCCUAUAUACGUGAUUGCACACAGACUGUAGAAAUAGUACAUAAAACCAGAGAAGAUCUGAAGGACACACCACUCAAUGAUCCGGACCUUCAGAUAUAUUCGGAUGGUUCUUCAUGUGUUUUCAAAGGCAAAAGAAUCACGGGGGCUACAAUUGUGAUGGGGGACAGGACCCUCUGGUAUGCGUCGUUACCAAGUAAUGUCAGUGCUCAAGGAGCCGAGCUCAGAGCCCUCAUAGAAGUGCUGGUGCAGUCCAAAGGCAAAAGGGUGAAUAUAUAUGUGGAUUCAGCUUAUGCCUUUGGAAUUUUCUUUGCCACGGGAGAAACUUGGAAGAAUAGGACAUUUGUCACAACAUCUGGAAAAAGGAUAGCAUAUGAGAACCUCAUAAACCAACUCUUAGAAGCAGUGAACUUACCAAAGGAAAUGGCAGUGAUCCAUUGCAAGGCUCACUCCUCUGGCAAGGACGAGGUAGGGUGAUAGAAUUCGGUACCCACUGAGUAUACUCGUUUUACCCUCUCUGAGCCAGUUACAAUGAGAAUAAAGUUUAAGCAUUGCCUGUCACCACCCUUAUCCUCCCCUCUCUGUAUUGAUGUUUCUCGCCUUUUUAUGUGAUAUAAUUUACCUCAUUCUAUCUCUCCCUUCCCUUUUCUCUCAGUGCAACCCUCUCUUUGAGCCCUUGAUUGAUUUUUACAUGUCAUUCAUAUGCAUACAUAUCAUAUCAUACAACCUUUUGCUCAAGUUCUACCUGCCUUCCCCAACACACACAGAGACACACACAGUGGAAAAUAAGCUUUUUGAGAACAAAACCUAAUUAAUUUAGUAUCUUAGAUUGUUGUUGUUGUGGGUAUUUGUUUAACUCGGCCUUUGGUUUCAUUGGCAUAGGAAACUCCCAAGGAAGAAAUUUCUCCCACUAAUGAAAACCAGCAAAUGGUCAGCAAAAAUGCAAUCUUUAAGAAUAAUUUUAACCAAAAAAAAAAAAAAUUUAAGUGGAUUGUCCAGGAUCAGAUAGAACUUGAACCUAGGUAUAACUGGCCAACUCACUACAUACUACACAAUACUGUCUUUCAUAGGAGAUGCUUAAUUAACAUUCAUUGAAUUGAAUUAAAUUAGAUGGAAAACAAACAGAUGUAUUUCUUUUUUCUUUUUAAACCCGUACCUUCUAUCUUAGAACUAGGUAUCGGUUCCAAAGCAGAAGAGCAGUAAGGGCUAAGCAAUGGGGGUUAAGUGUCUUUCCCAGGGUCACACAGGUAGGAAGCGUCUGAGGCCACAUUUGAACCCAGGAUCACUCAUCUCUAGGCCUGG